This is a non-coding RNA of Acanthosepion pharaonis, 99 nucleotides long. The record is from the annotation of a GenBank genome assembly. Lineage: Eukaryota; Metazoa; Mollusca; Cephalopoda; Sepiida; Sepiidae.
AUCCCAUUGAAACACUGGUUCCUGUAUGAUCAUCAAAGUUAAGCAUCAUUGAGCCUGGUCAGUACCUUGAUGGGUGAUUACUUGGCAAUACCAGGUGCU